RNAcentral lists this ribosomal RNA (1403 nucleotides) under Enhydrobacter aerosaccus. Its description in RNAcentral is "16S ribosomal RNA". It matches the Rfam family "Bacterial small subunit ribosomal RNA". Lineage: Bacteria; Pseudomonadati; Pseudomonadota; Alphaproteobacteria; Hyphomicrobiales. The record is from RNAcentral.
CAUGCAAGUCGAACGAUGACUAACUAGCUUGCUAGUUAUGAUUAGUGGCGGACGGGUGAGUAACAUUUAGGAAUCUGCCUAGUAGUGGGGGAUAGCUCGGGGAAACUCGAAUUAAUACCGCAUACGACCUACGGGUGAAAGGGGGCGCAAGCUCUUGCUAUUAGAUGAGCCUAAAUCAGAUUAGCUAGUUGGUGGGGUAAAGGCCCACCAAGGCGACGAUCUGUAACUGGUCUGAGAGGAUGAUCAGUCACACCGGAACUGAGACACGGUCCGGACUCCUACGGGAGGCAGCAGUGGGGAAUAUUGGACAAUGGGGGCAACCCUGAUCCAGCCAUGCCGCGUGUGUGAAGAAGGCCUUUUGGUUGUAAAGCACUUUAAGCAGGGAGGAGAGGCUAAUGGUUAAUACCCAUUAGAUUAGACGUUACCUGCAGAAUAAGCACCGGCUAACUCUGUGCCAGCAGCCGCGGUAAUACAGAGGGUGCGAGCGUUAAUCGGAAUUACUGGGCGUAAAGCGAGUGUAGGUGGCUCAUUAAGUCACAUGUGAAAUCCCCGGGCUUAACCUGGGAACUGCAUGUGAUACUGGUGGUGCUAGAAUAUGUGAGAGGGAAGUAGAAUUCCAGGUGUAGCGGUGAAAUGCGUAGAGAUCUGGAGGAAUACCGAUGGCGAAGGCAGCUUCCUGGCAUAAUAUUGACACUGAGAUUCGAAAGCGUGGGUAGCAAACAGGAUUAGAUACCCUGGUAGUCCACGCCGUAAACGAUGUCUACUAGCCGUUGGGGUCCUUGAGACUUUAGUGGCGCAGUUAACGCGAUAAGUAGACCGCCUGGGGAGUACGGCCGCAAGGUUAAAACUCAAAUGAAUUGACGGGGGCCCGCACAAGCGGUGGAGCAUGUGGUUUAAUUCGAUGCAACGCGAAGAACCUUACCUGGUCUUGACAUAGUGAGAAUCCUGCAGAGAUGCGGGAGUGCCUUCGGGAAUUCACAUACAGGUGCUGCAUGGCUGUCGUCAGCUCGUGUCGUGAGAUGUUGGGUUAAGUCCCGCAACGAGCGCAACCCUUUUCCUUAUUUGCCAGCGGGUUAAGCCGGGAACUUUAAGGAUACUGCCAGUGACAAACUGGAGGAAGGCGGGGACGACGUCAAGUCAUCAUGGCCCUUACGACCAGGGCUACACACGUGCUACAAUGGUAGGUACAGAGGGUUGCUACACAGCGAUGUGAUGCUAAUCUCAAAAAGCCUAUCGUAGUCCGGAUUGGAGUCUGCAACUCGACUCCAUGAAGUCGGAAUCGCUAGUAAUCGCAGAUCAGAAUGCUGCGGUGAAUACGUUCCCGGGCCUUGUACACACCGCCCGUCACACCAUGGGAGUCUAUUGCACCAGAAGUAGGUAGCCUAACGCAAGAGGGCGCUACC